RNAcentral lists this transfer RNA (73 nucleotides) under Camelus bactrianus (Bactrian camel). It matches the Rfam family "tRNA". From Rfam's summary of the family: Transfer RNA (tRNA) molecules are approximately 80 nucleotides in length. RNAcentral also lists the same sequence under 2 other names. Lineage: Eukaryota; Metazoa; Chordata; Mammalia; Artiodactyla; Camelidae. The record is from Rfam by way of RNAcentral.
GGGGGUACAGCUCAGUGGUAGAGCAUAUGCUUAGCAUUCACAGAGGUCCUGUGUUAAAUUCCCAGUACCUCCA